AGUCCGUUAUCAAAAGCGCUGUAACGGCCCGUACGAAACCGUUACCCAUCAAUCCCAAAAGCGGGUUGUACCUCUUGCUCACCUCCGACGAUGUGUACGUCGAAGAUUUUUGCGGCCAAGUCUGUGGGUUCCAUUACUUCACGUUCCCCUCAAUCGUGGGGUACACGCUCCCGUACGCAUGGGUGGGUAACUCCGCCAAGCUUUGCCCAGGAGUAUGCGCUUACCCUUUUGCCGUACCUCAAUACAUGCCGGGGUUGAAGCCGUUAAAGUCACCCAACGGUGACGUUGGAGUUGACGGGAUGAUAAGUGUGAUCGGACACGAAGUCGCCGAAUUAGCAACCAACCCACUGGUUAACGCUUGGUACGCCGGUCAAGACCCGGUGGCU
RNAcentral lists this long non-coding RNA (386 nucleotides) under Gossypium barbadense (sea-island cotton). RNAcentral's name for it is "long non-coding RNA (GBAR_LNC012041)". Lineage: Eukaryota; Viridiplantae; Streptophyta; Magnoliopsida; Malvales; Malvaceae. The record is from RNAcentral.